GAGACGGACGCGCGUGUGGGACCAGCACAACACCCGGGGAUUAUCCGCGAACGGGUGGCAAGUCUGCGUGAGGCCGGGUGUUGCGCUCGUCUUACGGAGGUGUUCGAGAACGUACGCCCUUCUUCUCGGUGCUUUGUGGAGAGUUUGCGACAAUUAUGUUGUGAGAAAGAGAAUGUAACUUUCGAGAGAGAGAGAAAAAAAGAAAUAGAGAGAGAUAAAAUAAACAGAUAUGUACAUUAAAAAGAAAUUCGGAUCGUGGUGUGAAGUAUCUGUUGGUUGAGAGAGAGAAAAAUGAAAUAAAAAACGGAAAAGAAAGAAAUCAAGUACCGCGCAAUGCAUGUGGCUGGCUGUGACGUACGCCGCGACAUCUGAGUUUCCAGGAGAUCAUCGAGUGUUCAUCUGCGAACACCCCAGGCUGCGAUAGGCCUACACAACGGUGACGUCACUAGGAGGAGCGUAUGCACCUACGAGGUCGGGUUCACCUACGCGCCGGUAGACCCCCCCGCCCCCCUUUCCCCCUUGAACCCUAAGGAGUCCCUUGUCUCCUCGCCUUAUUAAAUUACUUUAUUGCGUCACAAAAAAAACAAAAAAACAGUCACUUCUCGACCUGUCCGUCACUUCUGAUUCACCUUAACCCCACCACCCACCGCCUCCCUCAUACCCCUCCUAAACAGUCUCAUCUCGUCCUCUCCCGUCUCCCUUCCUCCCCUAACCUUCUCCUCCUCUCCCCGCCCCCCCCUCCCCCAUUGCACGGGCAACGCACCAGCACCGCUUCGCAACGUUUAAGUAAUAAAAAAGGACGAGGAAAAAAAUCACGUCUUCACCGGUUGCUAUUCUAGUCGCUCUCCGCUGGCUCUCCUCCGGGUGCCUGCGAGCAACUCAUUACUCCACGUGACACACUCGUCAAAAGUGCCAAGCUGCCGUGGAAAUAGACAGGCUCACGUGUGCCAUCGCGGGGGCCACCUGCGCCACCUGCAGACGCGAAAAGGAGAGAUAAAGAGAGAGAAGGGAAGAUAGAUAGACAGAGAGAGAGAAAGAGAGAGAGAGAGAGAGGUGAAAAGGAGAAGACUUGGUGCCAACACUACAGGUGACGCACGCUACUGUGUUGGGCCUUAUCUCGUACAUCUCUAUUAUUAUUAGCCGCACGCUCGCUAAUGCCCUGUCCUCCCCCCGUCUCUCCUACCGGGUCUCCCUCCCCCUCCCUCCCUCCGUAUCCGAACUAAAUCAGAAUCCGAAGGCUUAAUGCUGCCAUCUGACGUAGCCGGCGAGAACUAAGAAUAAAGGAAAGGUAGGGAGAGAUAGAGAGAAAAGGAGAGAGGAAGAGAGGUGGCAAGAUCUCUAUCAAGCGAAGAGAAAACGUUUACUUGAUAGUGAUAUUGCUGUGUGACCCGCCCGCGUUCAUUCCACCGAGGGGGAGAAAAACGUUUGU
Long non-coding RNA from Penaeus indicus, 1429 nucleotides. RefSeq lists it as uncharacterized. Lineage: Eukaryota; Metazoa; Arthropoda; Malacostraca; Decapoda; Penaeidae. The transcript is spliced from 4 exons. The record is from RefSeq and is a predicted model, not a curated record.